GACGAACGCUGGCGGCGUGCUUAACACAUGCAAGUCGAACGGGCCCGCCCCUGUUUUUGGGGGUGGGUUGAGUGGCGAACGGGUGAGUAUCACGGGAGUAACCUGCCCCCUGCUCCUGGAUAACUGCUUGAAAGGGCGGCUAAUACGGGGUGUGCCGGCUGGUCCGCAUGGGCCUGGUCGGGAUAGUUUCAUCUUCGGGUGUUUCGGUGGGGGAUGGGCUCGCGGCCUAUCAGCUUGUUGGUGGGGUGAUGGCCCACCAAGGCGGUGACGGGUAGCCGGCCUGAGAGGGUGGGCGGCCACACUGGGACUGAGACACGGCCCAGACUCCUGCGGGAGGCAGCAGUGGGGGGGAUUGCACAAGGGGCGGAAGCCUGAUGCAGCGACGUCGCGUGAGGGAUGGAGGCCUUCGGGUUGUGAACCUCUUUCUCCGGUGGGGAAGGCCCUGUCCGUUGCGGCGGGGUUGACGGUAGCCGGGUAUGAAGCGCCGGCUAACUACGUG
This 499-nucleotide ribosomal RNA is filed under the name uncultured bacterium. RNAcentral's name for it is "partial 16S ribosomal RNA". It matches the Rfam family "Bacterial small subunit ribosomal RNA", at positions 28 to 507 of the family's 1533-position model. The record is from RNAcentral.